GCCAGGCAUGGUGGCGCAUGCCUGUAAUCCCAGCUACUCAGGAGGCUGAGGCUGGAGAAUCGCUUGAACCCAGGAGGCAGAGGUUGCAGUGACCCAAGAUCGUGCCACUGCACUCCAGCCUGGGCGACAGAGUGAGACUCGGUCUCCA
Pongo abelii (Sumatran orangutan) is the source of this 148-nucleotide unclassified non-coding RNA. It matches the Rfam family "Metazoan signal recognition particle RNA". From Rfam's summary of the family: The signal recognition particle (SRP) is a universally conserved ribonucleoprotein. It is involved in the co-translational targeting of proteins to membranes. The eukaryotic SRP consists of a 300-nucleotide 7S RNA and six proteins: SRPs 72, 68, 54, 19, 14, and 9. The record is from Ensembl. NCBI's taxonomy places the organism in Eukaryota, Metazoa, Chordata, Mammalia, Primates, Hominidae.